GCACUGUUGAUGAGUCCCAAAAUAGGACGAAACAAACGUCCAGUGC
Molecule: non-coding RNA, 46 nt
Filed under: Schistosoma mattheei
Lineage: Eukaryota; Metazoa; Platyhelminthes; Trematoda; Strigeidida; Schistosomatidae
Source: RNAcentral